AACGCUACCUUGGCGUGCUAUUUUCAUGCAAGAUCCCGCGGUAAGGCCUUUCGGGGUACACGAGCGGCGAACGGGUGAGAACACGCGGGUGAUCUGCCCUGCACUUCGGGAUAAGCCUGGGAAACUGGGUCUAAUACCGGAUAUGACCUCAGGUUGCAUGACUUGGGGUGGAAAGAUUUAUCGGUGCAGGAUGGGCCCGCGGCCUAUCAGCUUGUUGGUGGGGUAAUGUCCUACCAAGGCGACUACGGGUAGCCGACCUGAGAGGGUGACCGGCCACACUGGGACUGAGACACGGCCCAGACUCCUACGGGAGGCAGCAGUGGGGAAUAUUGCACAAUGGGCGAAAGCCUGAUGCAGCGACGCCGCGUGAGGGAUGACGGCCUUCGGGUUGUAAACCUCUUUCAGCAGGGACGAAGCGCAAGUGACGGUACCUGCAGAAGAAGCACCGGCUAACUACGUGCCAGCAGCCGCGGUAAUACGUAGGGUGCAAGCGUUGUCCGGAAUUACUGGGCGUAAAGAGUUCGUAGGCGGUUUGUCGCGUCGUUUGUGAAAACCAGCAGCUCAACUGCUGGCUUGCAGGCGAUACGGGCAGACUUGAGUACUGCAGGGGAGACUGGAAUUCCUGGUGUAGCGGUGAAAUGCGCAGAUAUCAGGAGGAACACCGGUGGCGAAGGCGGGUCUCUGGGCAGUAACUGACGCUGAGGAACGAAAGCGUGGGUAGCCGAACAGGAUUAGAUACCCUG
This 743-nucleotide ribosomal RNA is filed under the name Rhodococcus sp. PC10. Its description in RNAcentral is "bacterial SSU rRNA". It matches the Rfam family "Bacterial small subunit ribosomal RNA", at positions 32 to 789 of the family's 1533-position model. The record is from RNAcentral. Lineage: Bacteria; Bacillati; Actinomycetota; Actinomycetes; Mycobacteriales; Nocardiaceae.